RNAcentral lists this long non-coding RNA (775 nucleotides) under Salmo salar (Atlantic salmon). RNAcentral's name for it is "lncRNA (ENSSSAG00000108294.1)". Lineage: Eukaryota; Metazoa; Chordata; Actinopteri; Salmoniformes; Salmonidae. The record is from RNAcentral.
GGAGCAAAUUGAUGAGUCUCUACUGACACCUAUUGACUCUAACUAGGAACUUACCCUUGAAAAUACAAGCAAUGUCAAGGUUUCGCUAGAAACCUUGAGGCAGAAUGUUGAACACUAGAUGGAACUAUUGUAUCAUUAUUAUACAUAGAAAAACCUUGUCACUGGACUUCAUAACUGUGGAGGGCAGUCUAUUGGAGGAGGACAGACAAAGAUGAUCUGUCAUAUAACUGAUCAGGAGGCAUAGAGAACAUCUCGGUGGUUGUGGCUGAAUAGUGAGAAGCAGUGGACGAGCCACCUGCCACACUUGGGCUUGAUCAACCCAUCCUUCAGAAGGGGUAGUGGGCAGCACAUGUAGGAUAAGUAGUACCUCACCUGAAGAUCAGCCAGGAGCUGCAGAAAUGGCUCUUUGUGGGCCCACCCCUCUCCUCUGUCUCAUCGACAGCCAACCUGUGUACAUGUUGAGACGUCUCAUGAAGGUUCGACCUCGGGGCAGGGGAUUCCAGUACCUGGUUGACUGGGAGGGUUAUGGCUCGGAGAAGAGGUGCUGGGUCCCCGCUAGGGACAUCCUGGACCCAGGUCUCAUCACUGAUUUCCAACGCUGGCACCCCGGUCAACCAGGGCAAUUGAACUUAUUCCAGAGGCUGCUCCAAAACACCGCCGGCGGAGAAGAGGUAUUCAGAGUGGACUUCUAGUCCGACUCAGGAGGCCUGCACACCAUCCACCACAUCCGAGUAUAUUACUCGCUAAGGUUCAGUGUCUGGAUAACAAAGUAGAC